Ananas comosus (pineapple) is the source of this 524-nucleotide long non-coding RNA. RefSeq lists it as uncharacterized. The transcript is spliced from 2 exons. The record is from RefSeq and is a predicted model, not a curated record. NCBI's taxonomy places the organism in Eukaryota, Viridiplantae, Streptophyta, Magnoliopsida, Poales, Bromeliaceae.
CGCCGCAUCAUCUACGAUCAACCAACUUUGAUCCGUUGCUCGUUUGCACGCGUAACCAAGCUUUGUUUGCUCAAGGGUCUUUAUAUAGAAUCAGCAGCUUCUCCUCCGCAUUUUGGUGGAUCUGCUACUUCUUCUUCUUCGUCGUCUUCGCCCUCGAUCGGAUUAGGGUUUAAGGCUUCGUGCGAAGGUGGAGCGAUCCGAGAUCGAGCUCUUCCGACCCGGAUUUGUGAGAUUUGAUCUCUGCUCCACCCCGUAGUUCUGUGAUUUCGUCUAAUUUGGAGCUCGAAUGAUUGUGUUGGAGUGUCGAUUCUUACUGUUGAUCUGAUUUUUGUGAUUUCGAUGUUAAUUUCUUUUUUUCUCCAUGGGGCUUUGAUCUAGUAUGGGGCAUGGAGUGAGGUGUUGUUGAUGUGUGAAAUUUGUGAUGCCUUAAUAGGGAUUCUCUCUUUUGUUUAGAGGUGAAUCUCUACAUUGGGUUGUUACUGAGUGUGAAUGGAAAUGGAAAUUUUCAUGAAAUAUGCAUUAAA